Molecule: non-coding RNA, 648 nt
Organism: Meleagris gallopavo (turkey)
Lineage: Eukaryota; Metazoa; Chordata; Aves; Galliformes; Phasianidae
Source: RefSeq, a predicted model, not a curated record
CAAGUCAGUGGCCAAGUAAAUCAUUACCAAACUCUGUUAUAAAAUAGAUUUUCUGCCAUUGGGUCAAUAUGCAACUUCUCAGAGGACGAUGACUUCAUUAAACUAUUUGACUUUACUUAUGUCUUAUGAAAUAGUUUAUGAAAUAACAGUAAUUGUAGAGUUGUAGGAUGCCUUUCCUGGCAAAUAACAGUUACAAUGUUUUCAACAUAGAUGUUCUGAUUCAUUUUGUAGGAAAUUAUAGACAACUCAAUACUGUGUAAUUUUUCAUCUUUCAAGCUGUCAUAAUAAAUACCAUGUUAGAGAAAUACAAAUACUGUACACAACAAACCUGCAAAUUCCUUGCCUAAAUGAUGUCACAGUUCGGCCUGGUUAGGCCCAGUUCUGUGACAAUGGAGCAAAAGCACCACAGUCCCACACCUUGGGAAAGGGGGAACGGGGAAGGGAAAAGGCAAGACAGCCAUGGAACGGAGAGAACAUAAAAAGAGACAGUCUCGUGAUUCCCGGUCAGUUUUAUCUUUCCCUGCUAAUGGACAAUGGAAACAGAAUAAUGAAGUUUUCUGGGAAUUUUAGUUCACUUUUCUCUUCUGAGACCAGUAACAAUUACUGAUGAAGAAAACCACUUCAGACACUCUUCCUUAAAAGAAAGGU